This 2311-nucleotide long non-coding RNA is filed under the name Brassica napus (rape). Its description in RNAcentral is "long non-coding RNA (BNAP_LNC026791)". Lineage: Eukaryota; Viridiplantae; Streptophyta; Magnoliopsida; Brassicales; Brassicaceae. The record is from RNAcentral.
AAAUGAGAGGAGAGAGGAGGAGCGUGUGUUUCUAUCGGUUCGCUUUGGUUCGCAAUUCUCUCUCUCUCAAAGACAAGGAAAUCAACGGUGGCUUCUGAGCGAGCCUGGAGCUCCGGAGCAAAUCGUCUCCCACCACCACAAAGAUCCAGAAACGCGAUCCCCUUUCUCCUCCAAACCUCGCCGUCGUUCGCGAUUCUCCUGGAUUCAGAAACAAACACGGAGAGCAUACACAGGUCCGGUGAUCGGUUCGAUCCUGAUAGACAAUGUUGAAGAUUAUGUGUUUGUGAUGGCGUCGCAUCAGAUUAGAAUCCAUCGUGCCAAGAAAAGUGAUUUCUAUUGAGAGUGAGGAGUCGUCCGAUCAUUGAAGAUAGUAAUCUGAGCGAGCCUGAAGACGAGGUACGUUUUUGAGUAUCUGUGUAUUUUUUGCAUUGAUUGAAUCAUAGUUUUGGUAGAUUAAUCUAAUAAUUUUGAUUCAUUCAACUGAAGUAGUGUGUAGUUGUUUGAUUGAACCUUGGUUAAGUUCAAUUGGUUUAGGUCGAUAACUGAGAUGCAAUUAGAUCUUGAGAAUGAUAAUUAUGUGAAAGUCUUAGCAAUGCUGGUGAAGAGUUCGCAUCCUCGUUGAAGCAUAUGUAUAAAGCAAUGUUUGUUAUGGUUGGUUGGUUGACAGAGGAGAGUUCAGUAAUUCAUGUUUGUUUUUAGAGAUCCAUAUUAUAAGAGCUCUCUGCCUCGUUUUGUGCUUGAGUUCAGGUGCUUAACUGAUUCUGAGCAUAGGCUUGUUUUUCCUGUAAAACGAAAUACAUGUGGGAUGAGUUUUUUGCUUCUAUCCUUUUGUUCCUUGGCCAUAGAAAAACAGAAACUUUAUACUUCAGUUGUGGAAAGGCUUAUGCUGUCAUUCCAGGGAAGAUGAAGUUAGUUUUGCAAGAGGUCUUCGAGUUAUAGGGUGCUUAUUAGAGUAUUCAGCUUCAUUAUUUUUGCAGUGACAGUGCUCUCUUCUUUGAUGCUUGGUUUGAUUAUGUUUGAUAGUAAUCAGUGUAAGGUAAGUAAGCAUAGAUAUGCAGAGUAAUGCAUCCUUUUGUUUAUUGAUUUCUCUUAACUUAUACGUGGCAUGUUUUUGUCUAUUAAAGAAUACAAAAGACACAGUUUUUGUAUCAUAAGCUGCUAUUUGGGUUUGAUGCAGGGUGGAUGUUGUAGCUUGCCGCAAUGAGAGGAAUUAGCUACACUCCGUCACCACCAAGGGGUUAUGGGAGGAGGGGUCGAACAAGCCCAAGCCCUAGAGGAGGCCGUUAUGGAGGUCGUAGUGCGGACCUUCCGACCAGCGUGUUGUGAAUGAAGAGGGGAACUUGUGUGUAUUAUUAGGUCGACCAACUGGUCUUUAUAUACAUAUGGUAAUGAUGGUCUAAGUACUGGAUCGACAUGAGAUCGUACUUAUCCUUAACUAGAUAAUGACUAGCAAUACGUAAGAUAAACACCAACUAUAAUGUAGAUAAACACAAGAGUAGAUAGGCGCCAGUAUGAUCCUGCGGAUGGGCUUGGCCCGUCUUGCUACACGGGCUGAUAAAUGGGUCGAUCACUGGUUUAUAACAAUAGCCAUGUUAAAACGGGUUUUUAAUAAACGGACGUAAACGGGUUUCGUGUAAAAUUAUUGUCCGUUAAAAGCCCGUUUAUAUAACGAAGUUAAACGGGCUUGGUCGGAUUUGUCCGCUUAUGUCUAUUUAGCAAACAGGUUUAUACAAAAUUAAACGAGCCGUCCGUUAAGCCCGUUUAACCCAUUUAUAUUUUUUUUCAUAUGUAACUGAAAAACGAUGACGUUUCAUUAGUAACCUGUAAUAAUUUAAUGUCCUAAAAUCCUAAAUCCCUUAUCGUUAGUUCAUUAGAGCAUCUUUAUCGGCGUCUUUAGGCCGUCUCUUAAGCUAAUUGAGCAUUAAAAAUAAAUCAAAAAGGUUAAUAAACAUAAGAGGCGUCUUUAAUUUGGGGACAAGAAGAGACCAUAGUUGAGGCCACGUGUUGGUAAAAUGAGAGGAGAGAGGAGGAGCGUGUGUUUCUUUCGGUUCGCUUUGGUUCGCAAUUCUCUCUCUCUCAAAGACAAGGAAAUCAACGGUGGCUUCUGAGCGAGCCUGGAGCUCCGGAGCAAAUCGUCUCCCACCACCACAAAGAUCCAGAAACGCGAUCCCCUUUCUCCUCCAAACCUCGCCGUCGUUCGCGAUUCUCCUGGAUUCAGAAACAAACACGGAGAGCAUACACAGGUCCGGUGAUCGGUUCGAUCCUGAUAGACAAUGUUGAAGAUUAUGUGUUUGUGAUGGCGUCGCAUCAG